RNAcentral lists this ribosomal RNA (302 nucleotides) under Lomentospora prolificans. RNAcentral's name for it is "Scedosporium prolificans Eukaryotic small subunit ribosomal RNA". It matches the Rfam family "Eukaryotic small subunit ribosomal RNA", at positions 1 to 307 of the family's 1831-position model. The record is from Rfam by way of RNAcentral. Lineage: Eukaryota; Fungi; Ascomycota; Sordariomycetes; Microascales; Microascaceae.
UACCUGGUUGAUUCUGCCAGUAGUCAUAUGCUUGUCUCAAAGAUUAAGCCAUGCAUGUCUAAGGAUAAGCAAUUAUACCGCGAAACUGCGAAUGGCUCAUUAUAUAAGUUAUCGUUUAUUUGAUAGCACAGUACUACAUGGAUAACUGUGGUAAUUCUAGAGCUAAUACAUGCUAAAAAUCCCGACUUCGGAAGGGAUGUAUUUAUUAGAUUAAAAGCCAACGCCCUUCGGGGCUUCCUGGUGAUUCAUAAUAACUUUUCGAAUCGCAUGGCCUUGCGCCGGCGAUGGUUCAUUCAAAUUUC